UUUAUCGUUUCAGAGAUUGAUAAUCCCGCGCUGUGUCUGGCUGACAUCGCCGCGCAUCAGGGCAUUUCGCAGAGCUAUGUCAGGAAGCUGUUUGCAGCGGAGGGGACGAGGUUCACGGCCUACGUUCUCGAAACCCGCCUCGAAUACGUUUCGCGGAUGCUGCUGAUCCCGACGCGCGCGCGCAGUCCAUCAGCGCCGUCGCGCUGAAAUGCGGCUUCAAUGAUAUUUCGUAUUUCAA
RNAcentral lists this unclassified non-coding RNA (238 nucleotides) under Hevea brasiliensis (rubber tree). Lineage: Eukaryota; Viridiplantae; Streptophyta; Magnoliopsida; Malpighiales; Euphorbiaceae. The record is from RNAcentral.